RNAcentral lists this ribosomal RNA (449 nucleotides) under uncultured bacterium. RNAcentral describes it as "partial 16S ribosomal RNA". It matches the Rfam family "Bacterial small subunit ribosomal RNA", at positions 29 to 523 of the family's 1533-position model. The record is from RNAcentral.
AACGAACGCUGGCGGCAUGCCUAACACAUGCAAGUCGACCGAGAUCUUCGGGUCUAGUGGCGCACGGGUGCGUAACGCGUGGGAAUCUGCGCUUUGGUUCGGAAUCACAGUUGGAAACGACUGCUAAUACCGGAUGCUGACGAAAGUCCUAAGAUUUAUCGCCCGAGGAUGAGCCCGCGUAGGGUUAGCUAGUUGGUGUGGUAAAGGCGAACCAAUGCGACGAUCCUUAGCUGGUCUGAGAGGAUGAUCAGCCACGCUGGGACUGAGACACGGCACAGACACCUACGGGAGGAAGCAGUGGGGAAUAUUAGACAAUGGGCGAAAGCCUGAUCCAGCAAUGCCGCGUGGGUGAUGAAGGCCUUAGGGUUGUAAAGCUCUUUUACCCGGGAUGAUAAUGACAGUACCGGGAGAAUAAGCUCCGGCUAACUCCGUGCCAGCAGCCGCGGUAA